AAAAGGUGGCUAUGCUACCGCUUUUGGAUGGGCCCGCGGCGCAUUAGCUAGUUGGUGGGGUAAAGGCUUACCAAGGCAAUGAUGCGUAGCCGAACUGAGAGGUUGAUCGGCCACAUUGGGACUGAGACACGGCCCAAACUCCUACGGGAGGCAGCAGUAGGGAAUCUUCCACAAUGGGCGAAAGCCUGAUGGAGCAACGCCGCGUGGGUGAAGAAGGUCUUCGGAUCGUAAAACCCUGUUGUUAGAGAAGAAAGUGCGUGAGAGUAACUGUUCACGUUUCGACGGUAUCUAACCAGAAAGCCACGGCUAACUACGUGCCAGCAGCCGCGGUAAUACGUAGGUGGCAAGCGUUAUCCGGAUUUAUUGGGCGUAAAGGGAACGCAGGCGGUCUUUUAAGUCUGAUGUGAAAGCCUUCGGCUUAACCGGAGUAGUGCAUUGGAAACUGGGAGACUUGAGUGCAGAAGAGGAGAGUGGAACUCUAUGUGUAGCGGUGAAAUGCGUAGAUAUAUGGAAGAACACCAGUGGCGAAAGCGGCUCUCUGGUCUGUAACUGACGCUGAGGUUCGAAAGCGUGGGUAGCAAACAGGAUUAGAUACCCUGGUAGUCCACGCCG
This 612-nucleotide ribosomal RNA is filed under the name uncultured bacterium. RNAcentral's name for it is "bacterial SSU rRNA". It matches the Rfam family "Bacterial small subunit ribosomal RNA", at positions 202 to 802 of the family's 1533-position model. The record is from RNAcentral.